RNAcentral lists this non-coding RNA (28 nucleotides) under Homo sapiens (human). The record is from RNAcentral. Lineage: Eukaryota; Metazoa; Chordata; Mammalia; Primates; Hominidae.
UGAGAUGAGCACACCCAAGGAUCCUACU